Molecule: ribosomal RNA, 908 nt
Filed under: Cladosporium magnoliigena
Lineage: Eukaryota; Fungi; Ascomycota; Dothideomycetes; Cladosporiales; Cladosporiaceae
Description: partial large subunit ribosomal RNA
Rfam family: Eukaryotic large subunit ribosomal RNA
Source: RNAcentral
AUAGCAUAUCAAUWAGCGKAGGAAAAGAAACCAACAGGGAUUGCUCUAGUAACGGCGAGUGAAGCAGCAAUAGCUCAAAUUUGAAAUCUGGCGUCUUCGACGUCCGAGUUGUAAUUUGUAGAGGAUGCUUCUGAGUAACCACCGACCUAAGUUCCUUGGAACAGGACGUCAUAGAGGGUGAGAAUCCCGUAUGCGGUCGGAAAGGUGCUCUACACGUAGCUCCUUCGACGAGUCGAGUUGUUUGGGAAUGCAGCUCUAAAUGGGAGGUAAAUUUCUUCUAAAGCUAAAUAUUGGCCAGAGACCGAUAGCGCACAAGUAGAGUGAUCGAAAGAUGAAAAGCACUUUGGAAAGAGAGUUAAAAAGCACGUGAAAUUGUUAAAAGGGAAGGGAUUGCAACCAGACUUGCUCGCGGUGUUCCGCCGGUCUUCUGACCGGUCUACUCGCCGCGUUGCAGGCCAGCAUCGUCUGGUGCCGCUGGAUAAGACUUGAGGAAUGUAGCUCCCUCGGGAGUGUUAUAGCCUCUUGUGAUGCAGCGAGCGCCGGGCGAGGUCCGCGCUUCGGCUAGGAUGCUGGCGUAAUGGUCGUAAUCCGCCCGUCUUGAAACACGGACCAAGGAGUCUAACAUCUAUGCGAGUGUUCGGGUGUCAAACCCCUACGCGUAAUGAAAGUGAACGGAGGUGAGAACCGCAAGGUGCAUCAUCGACCGAUCCUGAUGUCUUCGGAUGGAUUUGAGUAAGAGCAUAGCUGUUGGGACCCGAAAGAUGGUGAACUAUGCCUGAAUAGGGUGAAGCCAGAGGAAACUCUGGUGGAGGCUCGCAGCGGUUCUGACGUGCAAAUCGAUCGUCAAAUUUGGGUAUAGGGGCGAAAGACUAAUCCGAWCCMYCUAGUAGCUGGUUCCUGCCGAGUCU